Molecule: long non-coding RNA, 1540 nt
Filed under: Ananas comosus (pineapple)
Lineage: Eukaryota; Viridiplantae; Streptophyta; Magnoliopsida; Poales; Bromeliaceae
Description: long non-coding RNA (ACOM_LNC029427)
Source: RNAcentral
UUGAAUUGUACUAAUAUUUGGUAGAACUAAGUGCAGUGCUUGCAUUGGAUAUGGAGCAAACUAAGAUGAACAUGUGUGAGAUGCAUGUGAUUUGUAAUGCUUGCUUACUUAUUUCUUUGUAAUUUUGGAAUAUAUAAUGUUCGUAUAUGUUAUGUGGUUUUCUUAUUUCCAUAGUUUUAUGAGCAUAAUAUUGGUAGAUAUAGAUUUUAUCUGAUUCUUCUAGUUGUUAUCUUUAAAGUGUUUUGGCUGUACAUGUAAGUUUGUUUGAUUCGAUAUGUUGUUAUCUUUAUGACUGUUGGUUGCUUUGAAGAUAUUUUUUAUGUAUAUAAAUGCCGGUAUACUCAGUUAUAUUGGCUACAAAUUUGUAAUAGUUUUUUUUUUUUAUUUUGUAUUAUGUGAGCGUUGAAUUAAUUGAAUUUUCCAGUGAAAGGAAUUUGUACUUUGUAUUAUACUAUUAUUUUCAAGCUAAUUGCUAUUUGUGUCUUCGCUUUUCCAUGUCAGCCUAAUCCAUCUUGCCAGAGCUAUAAUUACCUCCAAAUUGAUUUCAUUUGUAGCUAAUAUUUUUGUAAAAAAUUUGGUGGGUAAAGUAUUUGUAAUUUGAACGUAAGAAUUCACGAGAGGCAAAAAAUAAAAUUUUAAUAGAUUUUAUAAAAAUAUUUGUAAUUUGAAGGGCACAAAAGAAUAGUGAAAAAAUAUAUCGGUAACAAAUUAGGCUAAAAUUUUGUAAAAAAUUUGGUAACAAAUUAGGCUAAAAUUAAUUUUAAUUUGACCCCCAAAAAAAAGGGUGAAUCAUAUAAAUUUUAAAGGAAAAAAUAAAAACUCUUAUUUACAUAGAAUUAAUAUGAGGGGUAGUUUUGUCUUUUCAUCUCUAUAACCACCAAUUAUCCUUCUUAUUCCAUUUAAUCCAACCAAACACUAUUUUGCUUAUAACUUGACUAAACUCAAUACUCAACCAAACACAAAAUUACUCUAUAACGACCUUAUACCUCAUCUUAUAUUUAUUCCUCGAACAAUUAUUUCUUUCUUAUACCUGAACCAAAUGGAGCCUUAUAUAUAAGUAUAUGUUCUCAUCCGUUUUUCUGUUUGGAUUGAAUUUUUUUUACUUUUCAAUUUAAAACCAAACCAAAAAUUUAGAUUUAAAUUUUUUUGAAUCAAAACCAAAUCACAUACAAACUAAAAAACUAAAUCAAACUAGAUUAAAUAAAAAAAAUAUUUCAAAUAAGAACGAAUGGUUAUUAUCAAUCUGCUAAAGUAUAGAAUAUAUAUAUCCAUUUGUAAAUCUAAUCGUACAAGUGGUUAUAAUUAAUUUGUAAAAAAAAUAUCUCAAAUAAAAAUGAGUGAUGAUGAUCAAUCUGUUAAAAAAUUGCAUUCAUAUCCAUCUAUCUUACAUUAAAAUUAAAAUUUAAGUUUAUAUCUUGAAUUAAAUUUAAUUUUUGAUAUCAAAUUUGAAUUAACAAUUAAAAAAUAUUAAUUAUCGUGAAUAAAAAUUAAAUUUUAAUUAAAGUAAAUGUGAAUUAAAUUUUGAUGCUUUUAGUUUAAA